AAAUGACCUAAACAACAGCGGACCGGUCAUGUGGGACUGCUAUGUUUGCCGCCACCAAGUGUCUCAAAAGUUUCCCAUUGUUGGAAGUUUCUUCCUCCUUUUGGUUUUACAGAUGUGAAAGCUCGGCAAAUCAAUGGAAAAACUUGCUGUAUAACCAGUGAGUAACCUUUGGGGUCAUCUGGGUAAAUUCUCAAACUGCACAUCUCGAGUGUUAAGACUCAACCUAACAAAAUGAGUUAAAAGUCAUUGAUGCCACGUUUAGAGUUCAAGGCCUAUAUCUUGUUCAAGUAAAACCAAUAUUAGGCACCCCCAAUAUUUCUCACCCAGAAAAUGUCCAUUCGCAUCAGAGUUCUGAACUGAGUAACAAACAAAAGCUGAUUUUAUUUUCUAAUACAAACUAAAAUAUAAAUUACUUUGACAAUAACCAUCUGACCCACUCUGCUUUGACUCUGACAUUAAAGUUGGCAAUCAUCCAGUGAGAGAGACUGAUGCACAUGUACAUGUAUGUCAACUAACUACAGAAAUUUUUGAAUGACUUUGGCAUCCCAUGAAGUGGCAGUUUGUGAGAUUUGGUAGUAAAAAACACGGACAAGCCCAUUUUGCGGUAUUGUGAGGAAUUCAGGACAAAAAGGGAGAGUGGGGAAUGUUACACCGUACAGCCCAGCUACCGUUGCUUUUCACAGGCUUUGAUGUUCCUGAAAGGGUCUAAGAUGCAGCACUGCAUGCUGGGAAAGGACUAAUGCUAUACUGCUCAGACUGCUGAUUUACCCAGGGACAAAAGGGCAAGACAAAUAUCGGCAUUUGGUGAGUAAAACAAGUUGUUUAUUGUUGGAAAAAGCUGCUGAUCAAACUGACCAGAACGUAAAAGCAUUGCAGAUGCACAUGCUCACGUAUAUAUCAGGGAAAGCCCACAUUUUGGUGAAAUAUUGGUCAGGAAAGUAGGGAUACUGUACACAGUGUAAUGUGUCAGCAUGGUUAAUAGAUCAUCAAUCAUGGCAGUUAAUUUAAGCCCACUGUGUACUUGCACCAUGACAAGUGGGUUCCUUAGUUUAAGGCCAUGAGACU
Molecule: long non-coding RNA, 1065 nt
Organism: Acanthaster planci (crown-of-thorns starfish)
Lineage: Eukaryota; Metazoa; Echinodermata; Asteroidea; Valvatida; Acanthasteridae
Source: RefSeq, a predicted model, not a curated record